Long non-coding RNA from Ananas comosus (pineapple), 656 nucleotides. RefSeq lists it as uncharacterized. NCBI's taxonomy places the organism in Eukaryota, Viridiplantae, Streptophyta, Magnoliopsida, Poales, Bromeliaceae. The record is from RefSeq and is a predicted model, not a curated record. The transcript is spliced from 3 exons.
UGGACGUGUGAGAGAGUAUUUUGGACGGGUUUUCGCAGCCCUGGACCAGCAGGUCACUGGUUGGCAGCUUGAGAAGGUAAGCGACUCACUUUCGCCGUUAUCGACGUUCUAUUCGACGAUUUGAGUAAUAAUUUCGGGUUUUUGCUUCUUGCUGUGCUAGGCUGAGAUUUCAGCAAUUAAAAAUGAGAUAAUUAGCUGUGAUUUUACCUUCUUAGACCAGGGAUAAGCUACUUUGAAGCUUAAGUGGAAUGUUUAGCCAUUUAUAAAGCUUAAUCGGAACUAUACGCGGAUUAUUGAUGCAAUUUGGAAUUUUCUCUUCGCAGCAGGUCUUCGAGUCUUGUUGAGCUAAACUUGUACUUUUAGAAGCUGGUUUGGAAGGUAUUCUAACCUGAGCGGGAGUUCGACCGACCUUUGGGUCAUCCUUGGUUGGCUUUGGGAAGCCUUUAGAGACUUAAUUGGAGCAGCAUUGAGGCUUCGUUGAGCUGAUUGUGGGACUUCUUGUGAAUAGUUGGAGCCUAGUACUAGGUGGGUCGGACCUAACCAGAGCAAGUGAAACUCCCCUAUGUUCUAUAUGUAUUAUAGAAAUGGUCUUAUUGUGUGCUUAUGUGAUUGAGAAAGGGCUUGACAUUCGUCAGCAUAAUGUUGAGCAUAUUCGA